Long non-coding RNA from Pecten maximus, 325 nucleotides. RefSeq lists it as uncharacterized. The record is from RefSeq and is a predicted model, not a curated record. NCBI's taxonomy places the organism in Eukaryota, Metazoa, Mollusca, Bivalvia, Pectinida, Pectinidae. The transcript is spliced from 3 exons.
AGGAUAUGUGUGUUAAGUGGAGUGUGAAGUGGAGCAUUCGGUCCUGGGGGUCGGCAGGGGAAAGUCGUCUGAAACCAACAUCACUUUAUAUAUGGUAACCAGGAGCAUUUACAGGGACACUACAGAUGGCGCUCAAAAGACAACCCGUGGAUGGUGGCUACGCAUGGGUAAUCCUACUAGCGUGUGCACUCCUGUACAUGACACUGGUUGGCACAUGUAAAGCUUUUGGAAUCCUCUACAAUGAAUUUCUAAAGAAGUAUGACGCGGGGGCGGGGAACACUGCAUGGAUAAGCAGCCUCAUGUUCUUCCUCAGCUUCGCUCUAGG